UCUGGUUGAUCCUGCCAGUAAUUAUAUGCUUGUUUUAAAGAUUAAGCCAUGCAAGUGUAAGUAUAAGUAACUCGUACUUUACAAAACUGCGAACGGCUCAUUAAAUCAGUUAUAAUUUAUUUGAUUAUCACCUUUCCUACUUGGAUAACCGAAGGAAAUCAUCGGCUAAUACAUGCGAAAAGGCGCGACUUUAUGGAAGCGCUGUAUUUAUUAGAUUUAAAAAUCAAUGCGUUCUUCGGAGCGGUAUCAUUGGUGAUUCAUAAUAACUUUGCGAAUCGGGCGGCCUUGCGCCGACGAUGAUUCAAAUAAAUUUCUGCCCUAUCAACUUUCGAUUGUAGUGUAGUGGACUACAAUGGUCGUAACGGGUAACGGAGAAUUAGGGUUCGAUUCCGGAGAGGGAGCCUGAGAGACGGCUACCAUUUCUAAGGGAAGCAGCAGGCGCGCAAAUUACUCAAUCUCAAUUCGAGGAAGUAGUAAACAAAAAUAACAAUGCGAGGCGACAAUGUCGUCUUGCAAUUGGAAUGAGUACAAUCUAAAUCACUUAACGAGUAUCGAUUGGAGGGCAAGUCUGGUGCCAGCAGCCGCGGUAACUCCAGCUCCAAUAGCGUAUACUAAUGUUGCUGCAGUUAAAAAGCUCGUAGUUGAAUCUCGGAGAAGUUUGUAAUCUGGUCCGCCUCGAAGGCGAGUACCGAUUGCAGCUCUCUAUAUCUGGUAACAGCGUACUGCUGUGCUUAAUUGCGCGGUAGUUUCAGGAAGAGGAGACUCGACUUGAAGGUCGGGGAUAUUUUGGGGAGAAUGGAUUAAUCUCUGUUUUUCACGGGAUAACUCUGGCAAUGUUUUACCUAUUUUACUUUGAAAAAAUUAGAGUGUUCAAAGCAAGGCGUUUUUGCCUAUUGAAUAUUGCAGCAUGGGAUAAUAGAAAAAGAUAGUCCGUCUUAUUUUGUUGGUUUUUUAAGAUGACAAUAAUGAUAGAAGGGGAUGGUUGGGGCGGUCUGUAUUGCCACGUCAGAGGUGAAAUUCUUAGAUUGUGGCAAGACAAACAACUGCGAAAGCAUUCCGCUAGGACAUAUUCAUCAAUCAAGAACGAAAGUUGGGGGAUCGAAGACGAUCAGAUACCGUCGUAGUCUCAACCAUAAACAAUGCCGACCAAGGAUUGGAGAUUGUUAAAUUUUAAUGACUUCCCCAGCACUUUGCGAGAAAUCACAAGUCUUUGGGUUCCGGGGGGAGUAUGGUCGCAAGGCUGAAACUUAAAGGAAUUGACGGAAGGGCACCACCAGGCGUGGAACUUGCGGCUUAAUUUGACCCAACACGGGAAAACUUACCAGGUCCAGACAGCGUUAGGAUUGACAGAUUGAGAGCUCUUUCAUGAUUCGUUGGGU
This 1379-nucleotide ribosomal RNA is filed under the name metagenome. Its description in RNAcentral is "SSU rRNA". It matches the Rfam family "Eukaryotic small subunit ribosomal RNA", at positions 1 to 1275 of the family's 1831-position model. The record is from RNAcentral.